AUGAGAUGUGUUCAUUUAUUUGCUAGUGACUCUAUUUUGCUGCUUCUUCUCUUUUGAUUUUGCCCAGCAGUGACUGACGCCACGUCUAUAAAAGGAAAGUGCCCAUUGAAAUGGAAAACAGGGAUUUUUAAACAGGCUCGACAUGAAAGUUGAGAUCUCGUCUCCAUGUACUGUAUACGCUCGCCUGCCAGGUCUCAGGAUCUUCGUUCGGAACCUCUGGUCACCUGAGGUCACCUUGGUCUUCAGCAUCUUUGUGAAGGUAGACAAGGAAUGACCCUUAAUAAGGGUAUUUCUGGAUUAUACUCUCUAUAUCAUAUUUAAGCCAAGGGGAAAUAACUGUGGGGAAUAUUUGCUACCUAUCUGAUAUAUGCUAGGCUCUAUUUGGCAUUUUAAGUAUAUUGCUUCAUUUAAUCCUCAUUUGACCCUGUGAGGUAAGUUGUGCUGUGUUUGCUGUACGGAUGAGGCAACUGAUGUGUAGAAUUUAAAGAUUUGUCAAGGUCAAGGUCAUGCAACAGGUCAGGAUCAAAACGUCACCCCCUGCCCCUCUGACUCCAAAGCUUGUCCUCUAAAAUACUGCAUUUUCCUAAACACUCUUGAUCAUGACUCAUUUCAGUCCAGCUUAUGGGGUAAAGCUCUCACCAAUUUGUUCUUAUAAAUAUUUACUGUUUUGAAAUCAUGUGUUAGGUAUUGUGGG
RNAcentral lists this long non-coding RNA (694 nucleotides) under Microcebus murinus (gray mouse lemur). RNAcentral's name for it is "lncRNA (ENSMICG00000048233.1)". The record is from RNAcentral. Lineage: Eukaryota; Metazoa; Chordata; Mammalia; Primates; Cheirogaleidae.